ACAGCAGUCGCCGCGGUAAUACAGAGGGUGCGAGCGUUAAACGGAUUUACUGGGCGUAAAGCGUGCGUAGGCGGCUUUUUAAGUCGGAUGUGAAAUCCCCGAGCUUAACUUGGGAAUUGCAUUCGAUACUGGGAAGCUAGAGUAUGGGAGAGGAUGGUAGAAUUCCAGGUGUAGCGGUGAAAUGCGUAGAGAUCUGGAGGAAUACCGAUGGCGAAGGCAGCCAUCUGGCCUAAUACUGACGCUGAGGUACGAAAGCAUGGGGAGCAAACAGGAUUAGAUACCCCUGUAGUCCCUGUCUCUUAUAC
RNAcentral lists this ribosomal RNA (305 nucleotides) under uncultured bacterium. Its description in RNAcentral is "partial 16S ribosomal RNA". It matches the Rfam family "Bacterial small subunit ribosomal RNA", at positions 508 to 807 of the family's 1533-position model. The record is from RNAcentral.